GUCGAGACAUAAUUGUUGAAAGAAAAAUUUCCAGAAACAUGUUGAUGUUCUCAUUCACGAAUCCGAGAGAAAAAGAAAAGGAAAAACUCAUGAAACCUGUCCCGGUUGAAACCCUAAUUUGACCAUGCCUUUAAUUGCCAAAUGCUGAUGAAUCUCUCUAACAACUGACAACUCUGUGUUCAUCUUAAAUUCAUUUCAAGUUUCAAUAAAUU
Molecule: unclassified non-coding RNA, 212 nt
Filed under: Hevea brasiliensis (rubber tree)
Lineage: Eukaryota; Viridiplantae; Streptophyta; Magnoliopsida; Malpighiales; Euphorbiaceae
Source: RNAcentral